Molecule: long non-coding RNA, 727 nt
Filed under: Nicotiana benthamiana
Lineage: Eukaryota; Viridiplantae; Streptophyta; Magnoliopsida; Solanales; Solanaceae
Description: long non-coding RNA (NBEN_LNC028552)
Source: RNAcentral
UUCUUAUUAAGCAACAAAUAAAAUUAAAGUGCAUAAUAAAAAUAAUCAAUAGAGACAUGCAAUUACAAACAGCCUAUAGCAACUGUUUAGACAAAAGGACACAACAUACUGCGUCACUAAGACUGCAUUUGUGUGUUCAAAACCCAAAAAAUAAUUUACAAGACCUAAUUUUUCUUAAACUCCAUAGACUUCUUUUUUUGUAUAUCAACCAAGAAAUCAGACAUGAAUUAUCUCUUCACCUUCCUGCCUAUCUUUGAAACAAGUACAGAAUCUAAAAGGUGGAUAACAUCAAAUUGUGAAGAACAAUCAACUUCAGUUGGAGGAGCAACAACCUCAUUAGAUGCACUAAUGUCUUCAAUUGGUCCAUGGUGAAAAAAAAAAGAUUUAGUUUGUGCGUUAAGAUGCAAUCGAACAAUAUUAAAAGUUAAGAAUCACCUCGGUAAUGGUUGAGCGAUUGGUCAGCAUAAUAUUUGGUCAUUCACCUUCAUCAUCUUGACUUGGAUUUAGAACAGAAGAUACUGCUACUUGCGUUGGCAUUUGAGAACCAUUUUCUUUAAACUUAAAACGCCCUCUGGUAUUAUGCCCAAUCGUCUUGUAAAUUGAACAGCUUAUCACUAUGGUGUCCUUUUUAGAUGACCUUUGAUGCAGCUUUUAUUCAGCCCUUUUCUUAGCCCUCAUAUUUUUCAUGAAACCCAAAGAGGGAUGUGGUUGACAUGGUAAAAGCUAU